This 497-nucleotide ribosomal RNA is filed under the name uncultured bacterium. RNAcentral's name for it is "partial 16S ribosomal RNA". It matches the Rfam family "Bacterial small subunit ribosomal RNA", at positions 28 to 507 of the family's 1533-position model. The record is from RNAcentral.
GAUGAACGCUGGCGGCGUGCCUAAUACAUGCAAGUCGAGCGAGCAGACGAGGAGCUUUGUCCUCUGACUUUAUCAGCGGACGGGUGAGUAACACGGGGAUGACCUACCUAUAAGACUGGGAUAACUUCGGGAAACCGGAGCUAAUACCGAAUAAUAUAUUGAACCACAUGGUUCAAUAGUGGAAUACGGUUUUGCUGUGACUAAUAGAUGGAUCAGCGCCGCAUUAGCUAGUUGGUAAGGUAACGGCUUACCAAGGCAAGGAUGCGUAGCCGACCUGAAAGCGUGAUCGGACACCCUGGAACUGAGACACGGCACAGACUCCUACGGGAGGACGCAGUCGGGACUCUUACGCAAUGGGCGAAAGGCUGACGUAGCAAAGCCGGGGGAGUGAUGAAGGUCUUCGGCUCGUAAAGCUAUGUUAUUAGGGAAGAAGAAAUGUGUAAGUAACUAUGAACGUAUUGACGGUACCUAAUCAGAAAGCCACGGCUAACUCCGUG